Molecule: non-coding RNA, 30 nt
Filed under: Mus musculus (house mouse)
Lineage: Eukaryota; Metazoa; Chordata; Mammalia; Rodentia; Muridae
Source: RNAcentral
UGAAUCUUUUAGCCUUACAAUUUCUUUGGA